Long non-coding RNA from Alexandromys fortis (reed vole), 803 nucleotides. RefSeq lists it as uncharacterized. The record is from RefSeq and is a predicted model, not a curated record. Lineage: Eukaryota; Metazoa; Chordata; Mammalia; Rodentia; Cricetidae. The transcript is spliced from 3 exons.
CCCUGUCUGUCUUUGCUGAUAGUUCCUUCAGGUCCCAGCUUCCCUUUCUUUGCUGAUAGUUCCUUCAGGUCCCAGCUUCCCUGUCUGUCUUUGCUGAUGGUUCCUUCAGGUCCCAGCUUCCCUGUCUGUCUUUGCUGAUGGUUCCUUCAGGUCCCAGCUUCCCUGUCUUUGCUGAUGGUUCCUUCAGGUCCCAGCUUCCCUGUCUGUCUUUGCUGAUGGUUCCUUCAGGUCCCAGCUUCCCUGUCUGUCUUUGCUGAUGGUUCCUUCAGGUCCCAGCUUCCCUGUCUGUCUUUGCUGAUGGUUCCUUCAGGUCCCAGCUUCCCUGUCUGUCUUUGCUGAUGGUUCCUUCAGGUCCCAGCUUCCCUGUCUGUCUUUGCUGAUGGUUCCUUCAGGUCCCAGCUUCCCUGUCUGUCUUUGCUGAUGGUUCCUUCAGGUCCCAGCUUCCCUGUCUGUCUUUGCUGAUGGUUCCUUCAGGUCCCAGCUUCCCUGUCUGUCUUUGCUGAUGGUUCCUUCAGGUCCCAGCUUCCCUGUCUUUGCUGAUGGUUCCUUCAGGUCCCAGCUUCCCUGUCUUUGCUGAUGGUUCCUUCAGGUCCCAGCUUCCCUGUCUUUGCUGAUGGUUCCUUCAGGUCCUGUCUCCUUAUGUUCUGUCCCUCUGUUGCCCACUGUCCAACAGGCACCCAUUAUGUAAAUACAAGCUCAUUUUCUACAUUGGCAUCUUCUAAGGCCUCUGUCAUACUACAUGUCAAGUGGAUAGGUCUUGAUCACUUUCUUUCAAGAAGGAAGUUUGUCCCUGUCUUCCCCAU